This 77-nucleotide transfer RNA is filed under the name Deltaproteobacteria bacterium. RNAcentral's name for it is "tRNA-Ala". It matches the Rfam family "tRNA". Rfam says of the family: Transfer RNA (tRNA) molecules are approximately 80 nucleotides in length. Their secondary structure includes four short double-helical elements and three loops (D, anti-codon, and T loops). Further hydrogen bonds mediate the characteristic L-shaped molecular structure. tRNAs have two regions of fundamental functional importance: the anti-codon, which is responsible for specific mRNA codon recognition, and the 3' end, to which the tRNAs corresponding amino acid is attached (by aminoacyl-tRNA synthetases). tRNAs cope with the degeneracy of the genetic code in two manners: having more than one tRNA (with a specific anti-codon) for a particular amino acid; and 'wobble' base-pairing, i.e. permitting non-standard base-pairing at the 3rd anti-codon position. The record is from RNAcentral. Lineage: Bacteria; Pseudomonadati; Myxococcota; Myxococcia.
GGGGACGUAGCUCAAUUCGGCAGAGCACCUGCGUCGCAAGCAGUGUCGUGUGAGUUCGAAUCUCACCGUCUCCACCA